This 253-nucleotide ribosomal RNA is filed under the name uncultured bacterium. Its description in RNAcentral is "partial 16S ribosomal RNA". It matches the Rfam family "Bacterial small subunit ribosomal RNA", at positions 524 to 776 of the family's 1533-position model. The record is from RNAcentral.
UACAUAGGUCUCAAGCGUUGUUCGGAUUCAUUGGGCGUAAAGGGUGCGUAGGCGGCUCGGUAAGUCGGGUGUGAAAUCUCGGAGCUUAACUCCGAAACUGCAUUCGAUACUGCCGUGCUUGAGGACUGGAGAGGAGACUGGAAUUUACGGUGUAGCGGUGAAAUGCGUAGAUAUCGUAAGGAAGACCAGUGGCGAAGGCGGGUCUCUGGACAGUUCCUGACGCUGAGGCACGAAGGUCAGGGGAGCAAACGGG